Molecule: long non-coding RNA, 535 nt
Filed under: Gallus gallus (chicken)
Lineage: Eukaryota; Metazoa; Chordata; Aves; Galliformes; Phasianidae
Description: long non-coding RNA NONGGAT008125
Source: RNAcentral
CCUGGAUGAACUGGCACCUCCUACCUCCAGUGAUGUUCCUAGUGGACAACCAAAUAUAGCCACUUCUAACAAAGGUACCAGUUCAUCCUCAAGUGCCAGUGUGCUAUGAGCCCCAUGCCCUAAGGAGCUGUUCUCCGCAGAGGACCACCACAACUGCCAAGCAAUUGCCCUUUGGGAUCCAGGCCCAGGAGAUGGCUCCUUCAAACACAGAAGACAGCUUCUAGCAGGCACUGGGGGUGGAGACACAUCGUGACUGAGGUGCAGUGUUUGAGGUAUGCUUGGAGGGCGUAGUCACCUCUGCUCACAACACAGGUGUCACACCAUUCAGUCACACCAAACUCGGAAGGUGGUUUUAUACACUCAGACAUACACACGUGCAUGCACACACAGCUUCUUCCAUGACUUCUUGUCACGUGCAGUCUAUCACCAAUAUGGCCAGGGGAGCAUUCAGGUAAAUUAAUUUAAAUGAAGACUGUUACGCUGAUUAUCAAGAUCAUGUGCAAAGUCUGCCAAGGUCUGUGUUGUGCCAGGUGCU